RNAcentral lists this ribosomal RNA (281 nucleotides) under uncultured bacterium. RNAcentral describes it as "partial 16S ribosomal RNA". It matches the Rfam family "Bacterial small subunit ribosomal RNA", at positions 505 to 784 of the family's 1533-position model. The record is from RNAcentral.
GUGCCAGCCGCCGCGGUAAUACAUAGGGGUCGAGCGUUGUCCGGAUUUAUUGGGCGUAAAGAGCUCGUAGGCGGUUCAACAAGUCGGUCGUGAAAGUUCAGGGCUCAACCCUGAAAUGUCGAUCGAUACUGUUGUGACUAGGAUACGGUAGAGGUGAAUGGAAUUCCGAGUGUAGCGGUGAAAUGCGUAGAUAUUCGGAGGAACACCAAUUGCGAAGGCAGUUCACUGGACCGUGAUCGACGCUGAGGAGCGAAAGCUAGGGGAGCACACAGGAUUAGAUA